AGAGUUUGAUCAUGGCUCAGAACGAACGUUGGCGGCGUGGAUUAGGCAUGCAAGUCGCGCGAAUGCCCGCAAGGGUGGAAGCGGCGUAAGGGGCAGUAAGGCAUGGGUAACCUACCCCCGGGGUCGGGAUAGCCCGUAGAGAUACGGGGUAAUACCGGGCGACAUCACACGGUGGCAUCAUGGUGUGAUCAGAGGUCCGCCGCCCGGGGAGGGGCCCAUGUGGUAUUAGCUAGUUGGUGGGGUAACGGCCCACCAAGGCGAAGAUGCCUAGCGGGUGUGAGAGCACGACCCGCGCCACGGGCACUGAGACACUGGCCAGCCACCGACGGGUGGCUGCAGUCGAGGAUCUUCGGCAAUGGGGGCAACCCUGACCGAGCGACGCCGCGUGGGCGACGAAGGCCUUCGGGUUGUAAAGCCCUGUCGAGGGGGAGGAAGCCGCAAGGUUGACCCAUCCCUGGAGGAAGCACGGGCUAAGUUCGUGCCAGCAGCCGCGGUAAUAC
This 500-nucleotide ribosomal RNA is filed under the name uncultured bacterium. RNAcentral describes it as "bacterial SSU rRNA". It matches the Rfam family "Bacterial small subunit ribosomal RNA", at positions 8 to 526 of the family's 1533-position model. The record is from RNAcentral.